AGCAUACAAGGCAUACGGCUCAGUAACGCGUAGUCAACCUAACCUAUGGACGGGAAUAACCUCGGGAAACUGAGAAUAAUGCCCGAUAGAACAUUAUGCCUGGAAUGGUUUAUGUUCCAAAUGAUUUAUCGCCGUAGGAUGGGACUGCGGCCUAUCAGUUUGUUGGUGAGGUAAUGGCCCACCAAGACUAUUACAGGUACGGGCUCUGAGAGGAGUAGCCCGGAGAUGGGUACUGAGACACGGACCCAGGCCCUAUGGGGCGCAGCAGGCGAGAAAACUUUGCAAUGUGCGAAAGCACGACAAGGUUAAUCCGAGUGGUUUCUGCUAAAGAAACCUUUUGUCAGUCCUAGAAACACUGAUGAAUAAGGGGUGGGCAAGUUCUGGUGUCAGCCGCCGCGGUAAAACCAGCACCUCAAGUGGUCAGGAUGAUUAUUGGGCCUAAAGCAUCCGUAGCCGGCUCUGUAAGUUUUCGGUUAAAUCUGUACGCUCAACGUACAGGCUGCCGGGAAUACUGCAGAGCUAGGGAGUGGGAGAGGUAGACGGUACUCGGUAGGAAGGGGUAAAAUCCUUUGAUCUAUUGAUGACCACCUGUGGCGAAGGCGGUCUACCAGAACACGUCCGACGGUGAGGGAUGAAAGCUGGGGGAGCAAACCGGAUUAGAUACCCGGGUAGUCCCAGCUGUAAACUAUGCAAACUCAGUGAUGCAUUGGCUUGUGGCCAAUGCAGUGCUGCAGGGAAGCCGUUAAGUUUGCCGCCUGGGAAGUACGUACGCAAGUAUGAAACUUAAAGGAAUUGGCGGGGGAGCACCACAAGGGGUGAAGCCUGCGGUUCAAUUGGAGUCAACGCCGGA
This 850-nucleotide ribosomal RNA is filed under the name uncultured crenarchaeote. Its description in RNAcentral is "bacterial SSU rRNA". It matches the Rfam family "Archaeal small subunit ribosomal RNA", at positions 71 to 922 of the family's 1478-position model. Lineage: Archaea; Thermoproteati; Thermoproteota. The record is from RNAcentral.